This 1291-nucleotide unclassified non-coding RNA is filed under the name Hevea brasiliensis (rubber tree). The record is from RNAcentral. Lineage: Eukaryota; Viridiplantae; Streptophyta; Magnoliopsida; Malpighiales; Euphorbiaceae.
AACCAGAAAGGUAAAGAACAAAGUUUACCACUAACUCCAAAACACGAACAAUAUCAACCACUGUUGGAAAACAAUACAAUUAUAUAAAGUUCAAUUUACAAAGCUAUUAUUCAUGCUGUGUUUAUUUACAAGCUUCUUGGUUCUUGCACACUGAAAUUGUGAAGAUAUUACACAAAACGUUUUCUUUAGAGAAGGGAGAGGACGAUAGAGAGAACCACUACUCAUGCAACUCGCAUAUUUUUUGAAGCACGGAGGCAAGUGAAAUGAAAGUGUCAUCACAUAACAAGACCUCAACAUUUGAAACCUUUGCCCAAAAAACAAAAGGAAGUAACGCUUAUAAAGCUCCUGUCAACACAAACCCAUAAGGCCAUAAAGCUGCAAAUGUACCUCAGUUACUGGUGGGCAGAAGCCUGGAGCAGUCCAUCACGAAUCUGAGAAGCAACAUCACGUAUAGCACCAGGUCCAUGAGGAAUAAACACUGCAGAUGAUUUAGACGCAGCACCAAUUUCCUUCAUUGUGUCAAAAUAUUGAGUGACAAGGACCAUGUCCAUGAUAUCUUUUGCAGUGGUGCCUGGUACAUUUUCAGAGAAACCCAGCACACUAUCCCUUAAUCCAUCCACAAUUGCCUGUCUCUGACGAGCAAUACCCAGCCCAGCAAGAUAUUUUGCUUCAGCCUCACCCUCAGCUCGCUUAAUUUGGAGAAUCUUCUCAGCCUCUGCCUUCUCAUUUGCUGCCACCCUCAGUCUUGCAGCUGCAUUUAUUUCAUUCAUUGCCCGCUUUACAUGCUCAUCUGGUUCUAUAUCAACAAUGAGUGUUUGCACAAUUUCAUAUCCAUAAGUAGACAUAGCCUGACAAAUAUCAUUGAACACCACAUUGUUACAUAUUUAUGAGACUUGAAUUUCUCAACUAACAAAAGUUUCAUCACUACUAUACGUUUGCUUUCACAAUAUGGAGAAAAAAAAAAAACAUAUCUUUAAGUUUAUUUACCUUUUCAAGUUCGUCUUCCACAGCUUUGGCAAUUUCAUUCUUCUGCUCAAAAGCAUCAUCCAGAUCAAGUUUUGGAACACUUGCCCUAAUUACUAAAAUUAUGGGCCAAAGUAGUUGAGCUCAUUAUGGGUUGAAUAAGAUGAUUGAGAAUCAAAUGUCAAAAGAAGUAUGUAUCCAUGUUUAUAUGAAAACAUACAUAUCCAUGUCUAUACAAUCAUGCAUUAUUGAUGAGAAGUAUCAUAUACCAUCAAAAACAUAGGCCUGGAUUUGGGUUCUAGUGUUGCUGAGUUUGUAGAAAGCAUCA